This 176-nucleotide small nuclear RNA is filed under the name Saimiri boliviensis boliviensis (Bolivian squirrel monkey). RNAcentral's name for it is "U2 spliceosomal RNA (ENSSBOG00000004019.1)". It matches the Rfam family "U2 spliceosomal RNA". Rfam says of the family: U2 is a small nuclear RNA (snRNA) component of the spliceosome (involved in pre-mRNA splicing). Complementary binding between U2 snRNA (in an area lying towards the 5' end but 3' to hairpin I) and the branchpoint sequence (BPS) of the intron results the bulging out of an unpaired adenosine, on the BPS, which initiates a nucleophilic attack at the intronic 5' splice site, thus starting the first of two transesterification reactions that mediate splicing. The record is from Rfam by way of RNAcentral. Lineage: Eukaryota; Metazoa; Chordata; Mammalia; Primates; Cebidae.
AUUGCUUGUCAGCCUUUUGGCUAAGAUCAGGUGUAGUAUCUGUUCUUAGCAGUUUAAAAUGGGGGUUUAUUGUUAGUUUGUGUCUUCCAAUUAUAAACUGUAUUUAUAAUUCUCAUUUGAAUUCCCUUAUAGCAUUUUUUUUUGGAAUCCCAACAACUAGAACAAAAAUAUCCUUU